This 484-nucleotide ribosomal RNA is filed under the name uncultured bacterium. RNAcentral's name for it is "partial 16S ribosomal RNA". It matches the Rfam family "Bacterial small subunit ribosomal RNA", at positions 29 to 507 of the family's 1533-position model. The record is from RNAcentral.
AUUGAACGCUGGCGGAAUGCUUUACACAUGCAAGUCGAACGGCAGCACGGGGGCAGCCCUGGUGGCGAGUGGCGAACGGGUGAGUAAUACAUCGGAACGUGCCCGGUCGUGGGGGAUAACGUAGCGAAAGUUACGCUAAUACCGCAUACGAUCUGAGGAUGAAAGCGGGGGACCUUCGGGCCUCUCGCGAUCGGAGCGGCCGAUGUCCGGUUAGGUAGUUGGUGGGGUAAAGGCCUACCAAGCCGACGAUCGGUAGCUGGUCUGAGAGGACGACCAGCCACACUGGGAGUGAGACACGGCCCAGACUCCUACGGGAGGCAGCAGUGGGGAAUUUUGGACAAUGGGCGGAAGCCUGAUCCAGCCAUUCCGCGUGCAGGACGAAGGCCUUCGGGUUGUAAACUGCUUUUGUACGGAACGAAAAGGCUCUGGCUAAUACCUGGGGCUCAUGACGGUACCGUAAGAAUAAGCACCGGCUAACUACGUG